Molecule: long non-coding RNA, 5891 nt
Organism: Pseudopipra pipra
Lineage: Eukaryota; Metazoa; Chordata; Aves; Passeriformes; Pipridae
Exons: 2
Source: RefSeq, a predicted model, not a curated record
CUUUUUACUGGAAAUACAGAAAUGAUAAAUAAAGUCAAGAGUCGUGUUUAUUUGUUUUCUUACAGAAUUAUAAACAGGUGACAUCUUUCUUCCCCUAAAGAGGCUGCAGAACAAUUUGGCAGUGAUUCUUUUCUUACCUUGACCCCUAAUCAGAAGCAUUGAAGUCUCUUUUCUCACACAACAGAUAACCCCUAUGGAUUUGCAGACCUUGCAGUAUACUUAUAUUACCUGAACUAGAACUACUUGCUGCUGCAAAAUGCUGAACACUCUGGACAUGAGAGAAGACAGUACAAACUGAGAGCACUCAGCAACUCACAAGAGCUUUUUUUUAAUCUUGAAUUGACUGUGACCUUUAUUACUUAAAAGUGUAAGUGGAAAAAUGUCAGUCUUCAUAGUCAUGAAUAAAAGUCCUGUUAGCUUCUGCAUGAUACCCUUCCCCAGUUGAAAAAUCAUACCUGCCCAAAAACUUUCAGACACAACAAAUGUUAUAGUCGAUGUUGUAGAAAUCAUUCCAUUUCACAAAAGAAAUUACUUAAUAAUGUUAAUGGGUUAGAGUUUUCUACAGUACCUGUUACAGAACCAGUGGUUAUGUAAUACAAAUUAUUAAUCACUUUUAAGCAUCUCUGUAGAGUCAGAGAUGUGUUGAAGAGAAACUGACAGCUGAACAAAACAUUUCAGUAAAUUGAAAGCAUCUCAGCUAAUAUAUCCAAUAUGGAGCAAGAAACAAAAUCAAAACAAAGAAGUCUGUAGUGACCUUACUCUAAAACCUUGCUAAAAAACCUAACAAAGGUGUAAGUUCCAUUUAUUCAAUAGAAUUUGAAGGUUACCUUUACAUUUUACUUGUCAAUACAAGCACUAAACUAACUUUUAAAUAGUUUGACAACAGUCUAGCCUUAAUUAUAAGCUAAAAAUAUCUAAAGGCAUUUCUAAAGCUUAUCUUAGAGAAAGGUAACUACUAGAUUUAAAUCAAUAUUUUAGUUAUGACUUCUAGCUCUUCAAUUUUAGGAGAUGAAAUUUCAAUAUUAUUCUAUGGCAACAUUUAAACUUCCUACUGCACCAGUGUUAGGGUGUUCAUAAUCAUUGAUGCUAGUGAGCACAGUGCUAAUUUCUCAGGGGCUGUUCUCUCUCUCUUUGUAACGUCUAUCCACCGCUGUAUUAGCACCUGAAUGUGCUAAGGGAGUAAAGUACUUAUAGGAUGCAAACAAUUUAAUGUGCAAAGGGAAACUGCUGGACAAGUGAAUAAAAUCUAAAAAAAAAAUUAUGUUCUAAAAUCAAUAUGAUGCAAGGUUAAAAAGGAUUCUUUUUGUUUUGUUUGGUUUUUUUCAGGAAUUCGUUUGGCAAAAAAACUUGAAAAAUGCUAGUACUGAUAAACAAAAUAAUGUUGUAUGAAGCCAAGAUAAAUUAAUCAAAAUUUGCACUAGCACCAUCUAGUUUCUGUCUGAAAGCUCAGAUCUGAAUGACUGCAGGUCCAUUUCUGACAGAUGGUCACUCAGCACAACUUCUGACCCUCCGGACUUAUUACACUUUUCACUAAGGAGACUAGCAGUGUUGCUGAUGUUAGCUUUAUGUUAUUCCACUAAUUAUGCAAUGGAAUUAUGGCUAGCUUAUACUUGUUCUUGCUCCCUUUCCUCUGAUCCUUCCAAAGCAUUUCAGAGUGACCAACGAUGGAAAAAAUUCCAAUAAAAUUUGCAUAACAGAGUUGGAGAAAAGAGAUCUAACAGGAACUUGUAGCAACUGCUAACUGUGAGUCAAUUGCAGAAAUGCUGUUGAUGGUACUGAUGCCAUUUUAAUGAGAUGGGAUUUUCGGAUGUUCAUAUUUAUGAACAGGUACAGUCCAGUACUGUACAUAUUACAAUAGAAAACACUCCAUCUAUUUCAAGGGGCUGGACAUGAUCCUCUAAGCAACUUUGUAUCCGCUGCACAAUUUUUGGGGUUACCUUGACUGCAGAUAAAAGAAACAUUUUUUAUUUUUUUAUUACAACUGAUUUUGGCCAUAGCACUUUGGUCUAAAAUGAUAAAUAAUGCACAAAUGACACUACAGGAUGCAUUCCUAUAAUCACUGUCUCAGAUGUCUCACAUUGAGUAUAUAAUGGAUUUAAAGUGUUUGAGCCUACUUGAGUCUUUUUGUAUUGGAGCAUUUUUGUGCUCCAGUUCUCUUUCCAUGGAUAUGUUUUUGAGCUGAUUGAUUACCUCAUAAGGUGCUUUAAAAGCUCCAGGCAUGAGAACAUGUAGUUCAGUGACAAUAUGUGCUGGCAUUUUAGCACUUGGCUUACUCAGGCAACAUAUUGCUUGUAAUCUGAAUUGAUACCUUUUUAAUCUAACCAAGCACAUAAUUCCCAUGUCUGAUUUUUAUGCAAGAGUGACUGAAAUGUUCCUUUUUACAUAAUGUUGCUUCUACAAGAACACCUCUGCCAAACUACAUUCAAGUGUCCAUUUUUUUUUUCACAUCACACCAGGCUUCAGUUGUAUGAGACAUAGGCCUCUUUUCUUUUUAGGAUCAUGCAUGGAUGAAUACAGGGAUAAAUAACAGGAUAGAUAACAGAGGAAAAGAGCAGUUAACUUCACUGCAUAAAACAAGUAGGUUUGCCCCCUUCAGCCUUAAACAAGAUUCUAUUUUGAGGAGAGUGCUUGAUUGGUUCCAUUAUGGGCAUGUAACAUUCUAAGAUUAGUAUGCUCUCAGGGAUAAGAAUGUCUGUAAGCAAGGAUGCCUUAAUUCCUUUCCCAUAGUCCCAGAAUUCAGGUUCAGUCCACUGUGUUUUGCUAUCAGUAUCUUCAGAGUAAAUGGUGAGGCAGAGAAAUUGAAGCCUCCAUAAAGAACAAAUUUGAGGUAUGCUGCACAGUGUGAUGUACAACUUUUAGCUUGUUUUUACAUGUAUCCUGUCUGGGAACUGCUUUAAUUUCAGCUGCACUUAUUAUUCCACAACAGCACCCUGAACAAAACUAAACCAUGACUAGAAUUUAAUUGAAAAUAUGGGAGUGAGUACAGAAGAAAAGGAGUACUGAAGAGUAAGAAGAGUCAGACAAUUUUGACAGUUUCUAAACAGGCAUUUUAUAGAUCGAUAUUUAUAAACCUGAUUACAUUGCAUCUACAGCAGCUUUAAAAUACAAAAUUAAUCUCCAGCAAUGUUUUAAUACUUCCAAAUUCUGUAAUAAAACUGGCAUUUGCACACAACGCACUACCUAAGUAAUUUUAAAUGUAAUAGUAUGACCUACACAAUUCAUCUGACGCAAAUCAUAGAUACACUAACCAGACUCUAAAUACACUGGGCUUGCUCAUCACUAGUUUUUCCUUUAUUUUAUUUUAUUUUAUUUUACUGAUCCCUUAUCGAUCCCUAUCUUCAGUGGCAGUAACUUCUAAAUUAUAUACAAAUUUUGUGAGCCUUUCCUGGCAAUCUCUAUUUCCAUGUGAAAAUUUCUAUACUACCCAAGAAUCUUGCAUUGUAUUUAAGUAUACAGAAGUAUUCUUUAAAUUGAACCAUUUAAAAAUUGUUCACUAAUGAUAUCCUAUAGGCAGGACAUAUAUUUAUUUAUUUAUUUAUUAAAUCCUAUAUUUGUCACCACAUGAUUAAGACAAACAGCAUCACAGCUGAACAAACUUUAAAGUUUGUUGUUGUGCUAUUUGCAUGCAUGUCCUUGUUCUGCUGGAAGUGUAAAGGAAAUCAAGCGUAUUUGAAGUAAAUCAAUAAAGAAAUGCCUAAGCCUUACUACUCUGAUUUUACUGAUAUUGUAGUUUGACUAAAUAAUAUGUUCAGCUACCUUUAUAAAUAAUUUCAUGGGAAGGCUAAGAAAACACAGUAGGAUAGUUUAUAAUUGCACAUGUUAUUUUUUCAGGGACAGAAAACUCAAUCAAAGGAUUUGAGACUUCACUGCAGGAACAGGGUGAUUUUAAGUUAUUCCUUACUUUUUAAGUGAAAUUAUGAUUUUUAAGGCACUCCAUAGUAAGAGUGGACUAAAGUCAUCAGAAUUGGUUGCUCUUGCUGAUCACAGAUCACUCUUAAGAACCUUUUGCAGGAUUUGACUUGUAUUUUUUCCUAAUCAAAUUCCAUAGAAUACUAUGACUGUUGUGUUCAAUAGCAUUUGCUGACAUUUAAUGCUUUCCUGCUUAUAUAUCAUCUGACAGUGCCUGAACCGACACCAACAAAUAAAGCUUCAGGGGAAUUUAAACAAGAGACUAAGUUUAUUUCCAGAAGAAGAAGGAAACACUGCUUUAAUCUGUUGUUUUGUGGAUUUCUAUAUCAAAGUGCUAAAUAGAAGAGUGUUAUCUUCUCUGCUUCUGACUUAUAUACAGGAAACCUGUUAAUCUCAGAUGGCACCUUCUCUUUCAAAGCAUCGGAUCUAUCACUGUAUUACAUACUCAUAAAAGCAAGAAGCCUUUAAUGUUUUAAAGGUGUGCAGAGUGAUGCCUUAAGCCCCUGAUGGGUUUUUUAUUUUUCUAAUAUUUGUAAGCCCUUAUAAGUUUUAUAAGUAGAUUUUAAAAGCAGCAACCCUCACUCCCUUGUCCCUUUCCCUCUAGCACCCUUAGUUUACACAUUCCUUAACCCUCUUACCCCAUUCUAUGCUCCCUAUAUCACUCCUACCCCCGAAUCCAGUAGAAAUGUUUAGUCUUUUGUCAAGGCAAGGCCUAGAUUGUUUGGAGAAUGCUUGUAUCUUGGCCUAAACUGCAGAACACGGUCAAAAAUUAGGUGACUAUGUACCCUUUGUGCUCUGAAGAUGAUGAGACUGAUGAAGAGGUGGUCCUGAAAUGCACCCCAGACCCAUUUCUCAGGGGGUGGACCCGGGGCAGUCCAGAGUAAAGGCCACAGGGUGGACACAUCUGGGAUUGGAUGGAUGGUAUUAUAAAAUGUAACAUCUCGGGCACAGCGGGCGCGCUUGUAACAUCUUUUGCCUUGGCACAAUAAACCCUUUCCUUAUCUCACCCCUAAUUAACUGCUCCGGAGAUUUUUUUUUAGCACCAGCCAAGUAGGCAUCAAGAGAAACAUUUAAAAUUUCCAAGUAUUUUAUAUAUCUGCUUCUAUCUUUCUGCGCUAUUUAAUUGAUAAUUAAAAUUAUUUGUAUUGAUUACUCAGUAUUUGUUUCCCACUCUACGGUACUAGAAUAUUUGGAAAUAAUUUAGAUUGGCUUAUAUCUGCUGCUCAUUGCAGAUGACGCUUAUUUUAGUCAUAAAAGCAAGAUUUCUGCAGCCAUUAUCUGGGUUAAAAAAUUUAUGAGAAAAUAAACCAGUGGUAUUUCAAAGUCAAAUUUAGAUUUGAGGAUGUUCCUAACAGUGCUGCUUAGAGUGGCAGAUGCACAAAAUGCUGGUUUGCUGAACUUGGUCUUUUUUCAGAACUGAGGAAUUCUGAGCCCAGACCAGCAUUCAGUUGUGUACUCAAGAUAUCUCUUCACCUUUGUCCUUGACCAAAACCUGUUGCUGUUACCAGGUAAAUUCCCAAUUUUGACAUCAGCAGCACAGUGUGAGUCUGCAGUAAUAUCCCAAACCAAAUACUCUGACUUGUAAGAGAAACUUUUGCUUUUACAACCUCUGUUCCACCCUACCUUACUUGACUGUCUGAAUUUCCCCAUAACACCGUUCAGAAAAUGCCAUUUUAAAGCUGCUUUUUCUAGUAAAUUAACAAUAUGUAAUUUUAUGGCAAUUUUUUUUCUUUUCUUUUGCAGUCAGGGGACCAGAAAUUCAUAGCUCUUAAUUUACUAGAGGAUGAAAAUUUGUCUGAGAAGUUUAGCAUUUCAAAGCAGGAGGCAAAGACAUCAAAGGAUUAGUGAUGACUGAAAUUAAGCAAGAUGCAGAGAAAAGUGUUGCUAGGUCAGAAGAAGCAUCUAUGAUUCUCUCCACUUAAGACCUAUUUAUACUUUCAGACCUUUGCUAAGGUGAAUAAACACUGGGUAUUUGUAUAACA